AGAAUCAACGCUGGCGGCGUGCCUAACACAUGCAAGUCGAACGCGAAAGGGGAGCAAUCCCUGAGUAGAGUGGCAAACGGGUGAGUAACACGUGGGUGACCUGCCUUCGAGUGGGGGAUAACGUUCCGAAAGGAACGCUAAUACCGCAUGACAUCCUGCUUUUGGAAAAGCGGAGAUCAAAGCUGGGGAUUCGCAAGAACCUAGCGCUUGAAGAGGGGCCCGCGCCUGAUUAGCUAGUUGGUGAGGUAACGGCCCACAAGGCGACGACGGGUA
RNAcentral lists this ribosomal RNA (273 nucleotides) under uncultured soil bacterium. RNAcentral describes it as "partial 16S ribosomal RNA". It matches the Rfam family "Bacterial small subunit ribosomal RNA", at positions 26 to 285 of the family's 1533-position model. The record is from RNAcentral.